UAGACAGCCUCGUCCUCGGCUUGGACCCCAGUGAUGGUUAAUGUGCCCAUGGAGCCGGAUUUGGAACCGGAGAAUCGUGAAGGGAUGUCCGAGGGUCUCUUGUCGUUGUAAUAGAUCACAGUGACAGGGGCACUGCCAGGUGACUUCUGCUGAUACCAGCCAUAGCUGCCACUACUCCCGGAGCAGGUGAUCUUGACGGUUCCUCCCAGGUUUGCUGACACUGAGGCCGGCUGAGUCAGCGCUGCCUGCACCAGGGAACCUG
This 262-nucleotide long non-coding RNA is filed under the name Gallus gallus (chicken). RNAcentral's name for it is "long non-coding RNA NONGGAT002868". The record is from RNAcentral. Lineage: Eukaryota; Metazoa; Chordata; Aves; Galliformes; Phasianidae.